UCCCACGACAAGACAUGCAUCAUUUGUUACAAGCAUGUAAAGCUGAAAAUUAUGCGACUAAGAUAAAAGUCGAAUAAUAUAAAGAAAAAGAGAGGCUGAAACAUUUAAGCCCUUGAAGUACCCAAGCUGAAGUCUUCAAGUGUAUUAAAGUUGAAGUCCACAAGUUGAAAUCUUCAAUCCCGUCGGUCUUCAAGUUGAAGUCCUCAAAUCCGCUGAUCUUCAAGUUAAAAUAUUUAGGCCCUCCAAGUCUCAAAGUUGAAGUCUUCAAGUCCGUCGGUCUUCAAGUUGAUGUCUUCAAAUUCGGUGAUCUUCAGGUUGAAAUAUUUAGGCCCUCCAAGUAUCAAAGUCGAAGUCUUUAAGUUCGUCGGUCUUUAAGUUUCGGUCUUCAAAUUCGUUGGUCUUAAAGUUGAAUUGUUUAAGCCCUCAAAAUCUUCGAGUUGAAGUCUGCAAAGUCAGCCAAAUCUUCAAAUUUUCCAAGUGUUCAAGUUGAUGUCGUCUUUGAGUUGAAGCUUUAUAACUCCAAUCUUAAGGUGGACAUAUAAGUCCCUUUGCACCUUAAGUUUCCCUCUUCGUGGGUUUGUCCUUAAAAGGAACUAUAACUUUCCAAUCUUAAGGUGAACAUAUGAGUCCCUUUGCACCGUAAGUUGGUCUCUCCGGUAGUCGGCCAUUUUGAGAGUAAUCUCUCCAAGAAUCGGACCAUUUUGAGAAUAAUCUCUCCAAGAAACGGGCCAUUUUGAGAGUAAUCUAUCCAGGAAUCGCGCCAUUUUGAGAGUAAUCUCUCCAGGAAUCGGGCCAUUUUGAGAGUAAUCUCUCCAAGAAUCGGGCCAUUUUGAGAGUAAUCUCUCCAAGAAUCGGACCAUUUUGAGAGUAACCUCUCCAAGAAUUGGACAGGAAUUAAUACCUAUCCCUGCACACCUGAAGACUGUCUUCUUCAUGCAUGGAUCUUCUUGUUGAGUAAGAACAUAUCUUUUCGCUUGAUUUACAAAAAAAAAAGAGAAUAAGAAAAAAAAAGAUAACAAAGAAGAAAGUACAAGAAAAGAAGAAGAAAUUAGCUUCGCAUUAAUGCUAGCGAAUAUACAAAACUAGACUCAAGUGGCUUGGGAAGAU
This 1107-nucleotide long non-coding RNA is filed under the name Nicotiana benthamiana. RNAcentral describes it as "long non-coding RNA (NBEN_LNC015256)". The record is from RNAcentral. Lineage: Eukaryota; Viridiplantae; Streptophyta; Magnoliopsida; Solanales; Solanaceae.